GACGAACGCUGGCGGCGUGCUUAACACAUGCAAGUCGAACGGUGAAGCGAGUGCUUGCACUCGUGGAUCAGUGGCGAACGGGUGAGUAACACGUGAGUAACCUGCCCAUCACUCUGGGAUAAGCACUGGAAACGGUGUCUAAUACUGGAUACGACCAACCCUUGCAUGGGGUGUUGGUGGAAAGAUUUAUCGGUGAUGGAUGGACUCGCGGCCUAUCAGCUUGUUGGCGGGGUAAUGGCCCACCAAGGCGACGACGGGUAGCCGGCCUGAGAGGGUGACCGGCCACACUGGGACUGAGACACGGCCCAGACUCCUACGGGAGGCAGCAGUGGGGAAUAUUGCACAAUGGGCGAAAGCCGGAUGCAGCGACGCCGCGUGAGGGAUGACGGCCUUCGGGUUGUAAACCUCUUUCAGCAGGGAAGAAGCGAAAGUGACGGUACCUGCAGAAGAAGCACCGGCUAACUACGU
Molecule: ribosomal RNA, 468 nt
Filed under: uncultured bacterium
Lineage: Bacteria
Description: partial 16S ribosomal RNA
Rfam family: Bacterial small subunit ribosomal RNA
Source: RNAcentral